AUCGUGUCGCCCCCUACCAUUCCUCCCUAAGUGGAUGUUUGGUGUGGGGGCGGAGAUUGGUCUCCCAUUUCUUUGACAUGGUUGGCCAAAAUAGGAGUCCCGCUCGAUGGACGCACGACUAGUGGUGGUUGAACAAACCCUCGUCAUGUGUUGUGCGUCUCGAGUCGUAAGGGAAUAACUCUUUAAAGACCCCAAC
This 196-nucleotide unclassified non-coding RNA is filed under the name Metalasia bodkinii. RNAcentral's name for it is "partial internal trancribed spacer 2". Lineage: Eukaryota; Viridiplantae; Streptophyta; Magnoliopsida; Asterales; Asteraceae. The record is from RNAcentral.